RNAcentral lists this transfer RNA (68 nucleotides) under Marmota monax (woodchuck). RNAcentral's name for it is "tRNA.Ala". Lineage: Eukaryota; Metazoa; Chordata; Mammalia; Rodentia; Sciuridae. The record is from RNAcentral.
GUGGUGGCUCAGUGGUAGAGCACUUGCCUAGCACGUGUGAGGCACUAGGUUCAAUUAUCAGCACCACA